Molecule: ribosomal RNA, 229 nt
Filed under: uncultured bacterium
Lineage: Bacteria
Description: partial 16S ribosomal RNA
Rfam family: Bacterial small subunit ribosomal RNA
Source: RNAcentral
CGUGUAGGCGGUCUGUUAAGUCUGAUGUGAAAGCCCCGGGCUCAACCCGGGAAGUGCAUUGGAUACUGGCAGACUUGAGUACGGGAGAGGGAAGUGGAAUUCCGAGUGUAGGAGUGAAAUCCGUAGAUAUUCGGAGGAACACCGGUGGCGAAGGCGGCUUCCUGGACCGAUACUGACGCUGAGACGCGAAAGCGUGGGGAGCAAACAGGAUUAGAUACCCUGGUAGUCC